RNAcentral lists this ribosomal RNA (253 nucleotides) under uncultured bacterium. Its description in RNAcentral is "partial 16S ribosomal RNA". It matches the Rfam family "Bacterial small subunit ribosomal RNA", at positions 524 to 776 of the family's 1533-position model. The record is from RNAcentral.
UACAGAGGGGGCAAGCGUUGUUCGGAAUUAUUGGGCGUAAAGAGCUCGUAGGCGGCUUGUUGCGUCUGCUGUGAAAUCCCGGGGCUUAACCCCGGGCGUGCAGUGGAUACGGGCAGGCUGGAGGCAGGCAGGGGAGAAUGGAAUUCCCGGUGUAGCGGUGAAAUGCGCAGAUAUCGGGAGGAACACCGGUGGCGAAGGCGGUUCUCUGGGCCUGUUCUGACGCUGAGGAGCGAAAGCGUGGGGAGCGAACAGG